CAACUCUGGAAAGCGGACGCCGCUGGGCGUCCCGCCGACGGUGAAAACCGGGCACGACGCCGCCCGGUGAAGCUCUCAGGCCCAUGACAGAGGGGGA
The sequence is a regulatory RNA element, 97 nucleotides long. It matches the Rfam family "Glycine riboswitch aptamer". Rfam says of the family: This family represents the bacterial glycine riboswitch. Glycine riboswitches usually consist of two metabolite-binding aptamers domains with similar structures in tandem. The aptamers cooperatively bind glycine to regulate the expression of downstream genes. The record is from Rfam.